GAUAUACAAACAUUUUUUUUAUAUUUUUAAAUAUCUUUUAAUCAGUUAUUAUUAGUAUGAUAGUUGAUGUAAACUUUAGUAUAGUAAGGAUAGAAAAAUUGUAUAACAAGAAUAAGAUUCUACUUUGAAGUUUUAACUUUUUUGAAUUUAAUUUAAAAUGUAAAAGAUAUAGAAAUAUGGAAAAGAUAUGAUUACUAAUAAACAAGGAACCCCAAAAGAUUAGAAGUACUAGAAUUACAUACAACAUGAAACCAACAUCUACCACUGGACAGCAGGAUUUUUUGCAUUAUGAAAAUGAAAUGGAUUUAAUUAGUAUAUUUAAAGAGUACAUUUUAUAGCUGACUAUGCGGUAUGGGCUUUGCUCAUUGUUGAAGGCCAUACAGUGACCAAUCAUUGUUAAUUUCUGUGUCAUUUUUGUCUCUUGUAGAGAGUUGUCUCAUUGGCAAUCAUACCACAUCUUCUUUUUAUGCCCCACCUACGAUAGUAGAGGGGCAUUAUGUUUUCUGCUCUGUGCCUCUGUUCAUCCGUGCGUCCGUUCAGGUUAAAGUUUUUGGUCAAGGUGGUUUUUGAUGAAGUUGAAGUCACAUCAACUUGAAACUUAGCACACAUGUUCCCUAUGAUAUGAUCUUUCUAAUUUUAAUUUCAAAUUAAAGUUUUGACCCCAAUUUCACAGUCCACUGAACAUGGAAAAUUAUAGUGUGAGUGGGGCAUCCGUGUACUAUGGACACAUUCUUGUUUUAUAUUGUAUUAAAAGAUAUUAAAAAAAUGCAAUUUGAUUUUUCAACAAACCAUUUGAUAACCAAUAUAUAAGAACGAGGCAGUGGAAAAAUGAAUUAAGUUAUAGUCUAACUAAUAUUGAAUGUUUGUUUGAGGCAUUUUAAAAUAUAUUUAUAAAAGUCAAGACCAUCAUUAUGAAUGUUGAUGAUGGAUAGCCACACUGAAAGGAAGAAUGAAACAGAAAAUAAACUGGAAAGCAAAUUAUUUGUGAAUUUAGAAAUAUUCAUUUAAACUAAACAGUUACGAUGUAUGAAGUGUACUAAGUUAAUAUUGUUUUUGUUACUGUAAUUUAAAAAUUGUGAUAGGGUACACAUUUCUGUAGUUGAAAGUAUCAUUUGAAUUUGUUGUAAUGUACUUCUAAAACAUGUACUGGAAUUGAAGUUGUAAAUCUCCCAUUAUGGUCCAUUCUAAAAUAGUUGCAAUGAUAAAUGUACUGUUAAUUCAGAAAUUAUUGAGAGGUUUUUAUUAUUGCAAAAUAUGUUACAAGGUUAUAAUCGAAAUAUUUUAAACUCCCAAUUUUUUUUUAUAUGAAUUAAACAUGACUUUUCUCAAUAUCGCAAAAUUUAAAAUCACAUUUCAGUCUUAAAUAUCAAAAUCACAAUAAUAAAUGCACACAAUAAUUUCUGAAUAUAUAGUACAUGUAUGUAUUAAAUACAGAAUUUAUAGUGUUUUAUAAAAACAGACAUGUAUUAUUUUUUUUUAUUUGAUAUGGUUGCAGGGUGGAAUAGGAAAACCAACCAAAUUUAUUAUAACAUUAUAUCAUAGAAUAUUGUGAAAACAAUUAACUUCCAAAAGUAGUUUACAUCACUAGUAGAGCAAAUUGAAAUUGUUAUUACUGAGGGGGGUGGGGGUGGGUGUAGAAGGGGUCCUGAUCCUGAAAUCCUGGGGCUUAAAAAUAUGAAAUCCUUAAAAAACUUACAUCCUAGAAUCCUGGAUACUGUAAUUGGAAAAAAGAAUUUCCGGAUCCCGAAAGGGUCAAUCCCGAACCCCUGAGCUCAAAAACACCUGAUCCCGGAGUCCCUAUAAAGGUCCUAUUCCCGCUCAUUACUAUGUCAAACUUUGAUUUGACAUUAUCAAAUCACAAAAAUAAAUUUGAACAAAAGGACUAAAAGAUAAUUAAAAUAAAAGUAUUGUGGAUUUUCUGUUGGAUAUAAAAAAGAAGAUGUGGUAUGAUUGGAUACCAAUUUUAUAACUUUCAUGAUUUAAGAUGAACCAUGAGUAUUUGUGCAAUGAAAAUUCUGUAGGCAUGUGUGCAGACUUUGGUAAAACCAAAGAAUUAAAUAUCCAUGAAAUAUUUAUAGAUAAUCGUUGAUGAUCUCAAUGAAAAAAGCAAUCAAGUUGAGAUGACCAAUAAUAAUCUCUUUAUAGCUAUUUUACCUAUGACGAAGUUGUCAAUUUCAAGACAAUUUCAUUAGCAACGCCACAGGCCUCCUUAGUUUCUAGCAAUAAUUUUACAUCUCUAGCAGGUAGCAUAAUAUGAAAAAUUAUCACAAAAAAAGAUCAAAGGAAAAAUGCACAAAAUAGUGAUAAAUGUAUUAUCUUUAAUUCAUGCAAAUUGAUAUAAUCAAUAUAAUUGGAAAAAUAAGUUUGUUUCAAACAUUAGUUCAGAUUGUUCUUAUUAUAAUAACAUGCACAGGAAUCAAAUAAUUAACCUUGCUAAUAUAGUCAACAGAGAUUUACAAAUUUUAAUUCAGGUACAAGUUUCUGAGUUAAAAUUUUUAUAUGUAAAAUUUUAGUGUCAUUCCAUAAUGUCUUGAUCAAUCAUUUAACACCUCUUUGAUAAUCAUACCUCAUAUUCUUAUUUUUAUUGUGGGUCUCAUUGGGUUUGAAGUGUGGCACAAGAUUGGGUGACUUUUUUGUAAGCGUGACAUGUGAAAGUUAAACCUUCCCAAUAAGAUCCCUAUUAUAUUGUAAAUGGUUGUUGGUAAAGGGCUAAGUAAAUACAUUUAUCCUGAUUUAGAGUAAUUUCUCGCAAUUUGAUUGGCUGAUAUUGUUCUAAUAAAUUUCAGUACAAUUUUUUAUCACGUCAAUUGGAAUUAUCUCCCUUAUUUAUUACGUCAAUUGGAAUUAUCUCCCUUAUACCAUUGACCUAAUAAAAAAACAAAAAACAAUUGAGUUGCUUUGUAGUCAUAAUAUUUUUUUAUUUUUCACAUUUUUUUAUUUAAUAUCUAAAAUAUAUUUAUUGAUAUUGUCCUAAUAUUGAAUUUGAAUAUAAUAAUAUGUAAUAUAACAAAAUCAGGAUAAAUUCGUUACACAGUGUUCAAUUGUCCUAAUACGGAAUUUAUCGGUUCAAUAAAAUUCAUAUCGGGUUUGGCUUCGCCUCACCCGAUAUGAAUUUUAUUGACCCGAUAAAUUCUCGUAUUAGGACAAUUGCACACUGUGUAACUAAUAGUAUCAUUUAAGUUGUCAUAUGUUAUUAUUGUUUAUGAUCUCGUACAUACCUCCAUUUUCAAGCAUGAAAAAUAUUUGUUGAUUAUUAAAAUUAAAUCAGUUAUUCAUAAUAAUGUUAAUAAGAAAUGUUAUUUUUCAAUUCAGAAAAUUUGGUCUUAUUAUGGAAAUGUUUUUGUAUCAGAUUUUAUUGAUUAAAAGGGACUGGAUUUACAAGAAUAAUGAAACUAUGUAAAAUAUCAUACCAUGGAGGAAUAUUAAUUUCUAAUUUACUUUGUGUGUUCUGGCCAUGAAGUCAGUUUUUUGUACUCAUACUCCAACAUCAACAGAUCAAAUUGCCGGAUUUCAUGUUUCAAGCAUGAUUUUUGUGCUCCAAGCACUGAUCAAUGUUUUAUGAUGGCAAAAUCUGACGUCCUUCAAGUUAAGAAAGGGUAAUUUAAGACAAGACAAUAUGUAUGCUUACUCGAGGAAAGAUUCUCAAGAGUACCACUUAAUUCUAAAUUGACACAUGUCUUUUUACAGGGCAUCUCACUUUUAAAAUUUUCUUGUAAAUUUCCAUCAUUUGACAAAAUACAUGAACAACUUUUGACCUGUAGAAGACUAUUUUGAUGUCAAAUUUUCUUUAUGUCUCAAUAAUUUAAUUUUGGAUAUAACACGUCUUCUGAUUGGCUGACGUUGUUUUGUUUAUCAGCUCAUAGACACAAUUUUAUCAUGUGACUGUGACGUCAUCAAUGUUUUUUCAUGGUUUACUCUGGUUUAAAAUGGAAUUUAGAAUAAAAUUAUGAGAAAUGACUGUAAUAUUUUUUCUGUCUAUUUGAAAUAACAUAAAAAAUGUGGUGCACACUUUAAAAUAACCCGCUACAAUGGUUCUUCAGUGUGCACCACAUUUUUGUUGUUAUUUUUCAUAGACAGAAAAAAUAUUACAGUCAUUCCUUAAUUGUUUCACAACUCAUUCUUUUUAUUAAAACUUACUCAACAUAUAUCAAAUAAACAUGACAUACUGUAAUUCAUGUACAAUCAUCACACCUGACAACAUUGAACAGGUAAAAGUGUACUGGCCAUGGAUGGGUUGACUAAUUUUCUAUAUAUUGAAAUGCUAAAACAUAUUUCCUGUACUAUAACAUUAUAAGUAAAAUCUGAAUAUUUAACAAUCAUUAUAAAACUGACCUAAUUUAUGUUGCAAUCAUCAUGAACUUUGACCUAAUUUAAGUUAUUCAUUACUAUGACGACCUGACCUGAUGUAGUACAUCAUCCCGGUCAUUACUGUUUUGUUUAUUGUCUUGUUUGGAAUAAAAUUUGAAUCUUCACAA
This 4475-nucleotide long non-coding RNA is filed under the name Mytilus galloprovincialis (Mediterranean mussel). The record is from RNAcentral. Lineage: Eukaryota; Metazoa; Mollusca; Bivalvia; Mytilida; Mytilidae.